CCUACGGGAGGCAGCAGUGAGGAAUAUUGGUCAAUGGCCGCAGGGCUGAACCAGCCAAGUCGCGUGAGGGAUGACGGUCCUAUGGAUUGUAAACCUCUUUUGUCAGGGAGCAAAGGGCGCCACGUGUGGCGCUUUGCGAGUACCUGAAGAAAAAGCAUCGGCAAACUCCGUGCCAGCAGCCGCGGUAAUACGGAGGAUGCGAGCGUUAUCCGGAUUUAUUGGGUUUAAAGGGUGCGCAGGCGGAAUGUCAAGUCAGUGGUAAAAUUUCGGGGCUCAACCCCGUCGUGCCGUUGAAACUGGCGUUCUUGAGUGAGCGAGAAGUAUGCGGAAUGCGUGGUGUAGCGGUGAAAUGCAUAGAUAUCACGCAGAACUCCGAUUGCGAAGGCAGCAUACCGGCGCUCAACUGACGCUCAUGCACGAAAGCGUGGGUAUCGAACAGGAUUAGAUACCCUGGUAGUC
RNAcentral lists this ribosomal RNA (459 nucleotides) under uncultured bacterium. RNAcentral's name for it is "partial 16S ribosomal RNA". It matches the Rfam family "Bacterial small subunit ribosomal RNA", at positions 338 to 795 of the family's 1533-position model. The record is from RNAcentral.